This 386-nucleotide unclassified non-coding RNA is filed under the name uncultured bacterium. RNAcentral describes it as "contains 16S-23S intergenic spacer region". The record is from RNAcentral.
UCCUGGUUUCCCAGGCAGUCCCAUCAGAGUGCUUGGCUUUCACCAAUAGCAACUGACAGCAGGGGUUGCGCUCGUUAGAGGACUUAACCCAACAUCUCACGACACGAGCUGACGACAGCCAUGCAGCACCUGUGAAUCUGUCUGAACCGAAGCCCAGAAGAUUGCGUUUCCGCAACUGUCAAAAACAUGUCAAGCCUAGGUAAGGUUCCUCGCGUAGUGUCGAAUUAAACCACAUGUUCCACCGCUUGUGCGGACCCCCGUCAAUUCCUUUGAGUUUUAAUCUUGCGACCGUAGUCCCCAGGCGGAUCACUUAACGCGUUAGCUACGACACUAAUUCCGUAAAACGGAACUAACGUCUAGUGAUCAUCGUUUACAGCGUGGACUAC